AGAGUUUGAUCAUGGCUCAGGAUGAACGCUAGCGGCAGGCUUAACACAUGCAAGUCGAGGGGUAUAGUUCUUCGGAGCUAGAGACCGGCGCACGGGUGCGUAACGCGUAUGCAAUCUACCUUUUACAGAGGGAUAGCCCAGAGAAAUUUGGAUUAAUACCUCAUAGUAUGUGAGAAUCGCAUGGUUUUCACAUUAAAGUCACAACGGUAAAAGAUGAGCAUGCGUCCCAUUAGCUUGUUGGUAAGGUAACGGCUUACCAAGGCAACGAUGGGUAGGGGUCCUGAGAGGGAGAUCCCCCACACUGGUACUGAGACACGGACCAGACUCCUACGGGAGGCAGCAGUGAGGAAUAUUGGACAAUGGGCGCAAGCCUGAUCCAGCCAUGCCGCGUGCAGGAUGACGGUCCUAUGGAUUGUAAACUGCUUUUGUACAGGAAGAAACACUCCCUCGUGAGGGAGCUUGACGGUACUGUAAGAAUAAGGAUCGGCUAACUCCGUGCCAGCAGCCGCGGUAAUACGGAGGAUCCAAGCGUUAUCCGGAAUCAUUGGGUUUAAAGGGUCCGUAGGCGGUUUAAUAAGUCAGUGGUGAAA
Molecule: ribosomal RNA, 590 nt
Filed under: uncultured bacterium
Lineage: Bacteria
Description: bacterial SSU rRNA
Rfam family: Bacterial small subunit ribosomal RNA
Source: RNAcentral